UCCAGACUCCUACGGGAGGCAGCAGUGGGGAAUAUUGGGCAAUGGGCGCAAGCCUGACCCAGCAACGCCGCGUGAAGGAAGAAGGCUUUCGGGUUGUAAACUUCUUUUGACAGGGAAGAGUAGAAGACGGUACCUGUCGAAUAAGCCACGGCUAACUACGUGCCAGCAGCCGCGGUAAUACGGAGGAUGCGAGCGUUAUCCGGAUUUAUUGGGUUUAAAGGGUGCGCAGGCGGAGGUGCAAGUCAGCGGUCAAAUUGCGGGGCUCAACCCCGUACUGCCGUUGAAACUGCAUCCCUUGAGUGCGCGAGAAGUAUGCGGAAUGCGUGGUGUAGCGGUGAAAUGCAUAGAUAUCACGCAGAACUCCGAUUGCGAAGGCAGCAUACCGGCGCGCAACUGACGCUCAUACACGAAAGCGUGGGUAUCGAACAGGAUUAGAUACCCUCGUA
This 446-nucleotide ribosomal RNA is filed under the name uncultured bacterium. Its description in RNAcentral is "bacterial SSU rRNA". It matches the Rfam family "Bacterial small subunit ribosomal RNA", at positions 330 to 792 of the family's 1533-position model. The record is from RNAcentral.